CUGAUAUCCAGAAAGUUUGAAUUCCUACAGAAUGAUGGCAUCAUGGCAAGUUGCUUCAGUUGAGGACAAUUUUAUUAUGGAAAACAAAAUCAGCGAACAAAUGUUUUUCCCAUGUACAGAAGUUAAAACAGCAUUAAACCUGACAACAUGUCAAGUAACUUGAAAGGUUCCAUUUGUUAAUCUGAAAUGUUCAUUUUUAUUAAGCUUGACAUGAAGCUUUAUUAUAUGGUAGUGAGUGUUGAG
RNAcentral lists this unclassified non-coding RNA (243 nucleotides) under Hevea brasiliensis (rubber tree). The record is from RNAcentral. Lineage: Eukaryota; Viridiplantae; Streptophyta; Magnoliopsida; Malpighiales; Euphorbiaceae.